This is a long non-coding RNA of Magnolia sinica, 1356 nucleotides long. RefSeq lists it as uncharacterized. The transcript has 5 exons. The record is from RefSeq and is a predicted model, not a curated record. Lineage: Eukaryota; Viridiplantae; Streptophyta; Magnoliopsida; Magnoliales; Magnoliaceae.
UUGGCUUGUUUUUUGGCGUAUUUUAGUUGAAUGUCUUUCUUCCUUUAGAGAAUGCUGGAUCAAGCUGAAGUUGUGGAGAAAUCUUCAACAUUAACAUUACACAAAUCUAUCAUUGGGGAUCCAAUAUGUAUAUUAUGUCUAUGUCUUUUCUUUAAUGCAAGUCCAAAUCCCACUCAUAAUCAAUUGUGCUUGAUGGAACUUCUGUUUUUGUUUCUCGAUCCUCUAGCCUUUACUUAUCCAGGUCAGGUUGUUCUACAAUGGUUGUGCUGUGAAGAGUACCUUGCUUUUCAAUAAAAAGAGCUGAAAGUUAAGAUGCAGCAGGACUCUAAUUGCAGCGGGUUUCUUGUAAUUGUUGAAGGUAAUUGCUUUCUUGUAUCUCGGUUUAAGAUACUAUGUGUGUUGAAUAUAAUUUAAUGAAUGGUAUCAACUAUAUAAAUCCUUGAAUUGGUGCAAUUUGGUAAUGGAUCUAUGCUAAUUAGUGGCCCACCUCUUGAAUGACAUCUGGCCCAAAAAUCUAGCUUAACGCUCAAGGCUGGAGCCUUUUGUAGCUAUAGUUGGUGUAAUAAAUGACCUGAUGAGAUACUUGCGCAAAUGCUUCCUUUGCUCCAUUGAAUUACCAAAAUUGGGAGAUGCCAUAAAUGAGCAGAGGGCUACUCUACAUUCUGCUCUAGAGAAGUGCCUUGUACAGCUAGCAAAUAAGCAAUUCAUUAAUGAAAAAUUGGGUGCUUCUGCUUGUAAGCAAAUCACCUUGACUAUCAAACUGGAGAAAAUAUGUCAAUCAUCAUCCAAUGAUUGUUGCAUGCCACCAUGAAGGUAGAGGAUGGAAAUUUUGGGGAGAGUAAUCUGAAAAGCAAAUUUUGGGGUCGUUCAAUCCAGCUUGAUCCUGUUGGUUUUCUAACUCUCGAGUUGGAUGAUGGUGAAGUUUUUCAGUGGAGUAAGGUAACAACUUUUGUGUUCUACUAAUCACCAAUCACCAAAACUUGGACUAUUCCUUUUCAGGAGAUAAUUGAUAUGGUGAGACCAUUCCUUUUGUGUCAAUUUCAUUCCUCUUUGAGUUUUUAUUAAUUCAUUAAGAAAAAAGAAAAGAAAAUGAUCAUACAUGAUGCACUUCUUUCACUUUAUCUUUUUUUCCCCCAAUGGUCAUUCUGAUUUAUGAAUGCCAUGACUACUUGUAGGAUGAUGGAAUAUAUGAAGCUGUUGCAGGAAGUGACUUUCUCAUUACUAGAGUUGCAUUUCGAGAUAACUCUUCAAAGUACUACAUAAAUGACCGUGGAAGUAAUUUUACAGAGGUCACUAAGAAAUUGAAAGGAAAAGUAGUGGACUUGAACAAUUGUAAUUUCAACAUUAUUGUAAUUG